Molecule: ribosomal RNA, 253 nt
Filed under: uncultured bacterium
Lineage: Bacteria
Description: partial 16S ribosomal RNA
Rfam family: Bacterial small subunit ribosomal RNA
Source: RNAcentral
UACGAAGGGGGCUAGCGUUGCUCGGAAUCACUGGGCGUAAAGGGUGCGUAGGCGGGUCUUUAAGUCAGGGGUGAAAUCCUGGAGCUCAACUCCAGAACUGCCUUUGAUACUGAGGAUCUUGAGUUCGGGAGAGGUGAGUGGAACUGCGAGUGUAGAGGUGAAAUUCGUAGAUAUUCGCAAGAACACCAGUGGCGAAGGCGGCUCACUGGCCCGAUACUGACGCUGAUGCGCGAAAGCGUGGGGAGCAAACGGG